This 327-nucleotide unclassified non-coding RNA is filed under the name soil metagenome. RNAcentral describes it as "partial contains 5.8S ribosomal RNA, internal transcribed spacer 2, and large subunit ribosomal RNA". The stretch from base 1 to 120 matches the Rfam family "5.8S ribosomal RNA", at positions 35 to 154 of the family's 154-position model. The record is from RNAcentral.
GAUGAAGAACGUAGCGAAAUGCGAUAAGUAAUGUGAAUUGCAGAAUUCAGUGAAUCAUCGAAUCUUUGAACGCAAAUUGCGCCCCUUGGUAUUCCGAGGGGCAUGCCUGUUCGAGCGUCAUUAUCACCCCUCAAGCUUUGCUUGGUGUUGGGGCCUGCUGUAAUAGGCAGCCCUUAAAAUCAGUGGCGGUGCUUCAAGGCUCUAAGCGUAGUAAUUCUCCUCGCUAUAGUGUCUAGUGGUUGCCAGCCAGAACCCCCCAAUUUUCAUGAUUGACCUCGGAUCAGGUAGGGAUACCCGCUGAACUUAAGCAUAUCAAUAAGCGGAGGA